GGGAGGUAGGCCAUAAUUUGAAUGACUAUAGCACCACUACCUUAUAAUGAUGAUACCAUGGUCCUAGUUUCAUCAUUGGAAUUGGAAGAAAGUAGCAGUACCUGCAUGAAUAUUAUUUAAUGAAGGCAAUAAUUUUAAUAUAAUCAACCAUGCAUGUUUCUUUCUCUAAUUGGAUUCUGAUGUAGAAUUUUGAGUUUAAACAUUUGAUUAUAUGAUCCUGCAAAUGUAAAUUAUACAGGCCUAGCCUAAGAGAAUUUCAUAUUGUAGGCUGUCUUUAUAAGUCAUUUGAAAGAAAGCUAGUCAUAUCUGGUUGUUUUUUUAUGUACCAUUUGUAGUUUAAGUGUUCUUUUGGCCAAUAAUGCAGCUAAGGACUCACU
RNAcentral lists this unclassified non-coding RNA (377 nucleotides) under Hevea brasiliensis (rubber tree). Lineage: Eukaryota; Viridiplantae; Streptophyta; Magnoliopsida; Malpighiales; Euphorbiaceae. The record is from RNAcentral.